RNAcentral lists this ribosomal RNA (406 nucleotides) under uncultured bacterium. RNAcentral describes it as "partial 16S ribosomal RNA". It matches the Rfam family "Bacterial small subunit ribosomal RNA", at positions 30 to 526 of the family's 1533-position model. The record is from RNAcentral.
AUUGAACGCUGGCGGCAGGCCUCACACAUGCCAGUCGAGCGAACGGCGGACGGGUGCUUAAUGUAUGGGGAUCUGCCCGAUAGAGGGGGAUAACUACUGGAAACGGUGGCUAAUACCGCAUACUAUCGGAUGAACCCAUAUUGGAUGAUCUAGUAGGUGGGGUAAAGGCUCACCUAGGCAACGAUCUCUAGCUGGUCUGAGAGGAUGAUCAACCACAUGUGUACUGGGACACGGCCCAGACGCUUGCGGUAGGCAGCAGUGGGGAAUAUUGCCCAAGGGGCGCAAGCCUGAUGCAGCCAUGCCGCGUGUAUGAAGAAGGCCUUCGGGUUGUAAAGUACUUUCAGCGGGGAGGCGUUACCCGCAGAAGAAGCACCGGCUAACUCCGUGCCAGCAGCCGCGGUAAUUC